Daphnia pulicaria is the source of this 3552-nucleotide long non-coding RNA. RefSeq lists it as uncharacterized. NCBI's taxonomy places the organism in Eukaryota, Metazoa, Arthropoda, Branchiopoda, Diplostraca, Daphniidae. The record is from RefSeq and is a predicted model, not a curated record. The transcript has 11 exons.
GUAAGUCAGUUGGUCACCGAGCCUCAGCUCGAGCGCAACGUUUUAUUGUCGUCUCUAAAAAAUGUUUUAAGUUCUUGAUUUUAUUUUUACCAUUUUUCUGGUAGUCUGUGACGUGUGACACGGACAAGAAUGAAAAGGAAUUUUGAAGGAGCAUUUAGUUGUAUAUUUCGCUUCUUCUUUUUUUUUUGCUGUUGCGACGUCAAUUCUUUUUGUUAUUCAACCGUUGUUUCUGCCUUUGCUUUUGGCGUUCCUAGAGAAGUGGCAGCCGGUCUCACGUCACGCCAUGUUUGAUUGGCUCACGGACAAGGUGCUGGACAUUCAAGCACCAGAAAAUAACCCCAAGAGGCUAAAUGGUUGUCCAAGGGCGGCCAACAACAUUUGGAGACUGAGUUGAUAGUCAAGUGGUAGUGUUGAGAGAAGAAUGGCCACUUUGUGGCAGCCAUUCGAGUUGUCUCCUGUCUUUCUCGACUCCACAACAUGGCCAUCAGUUGGAGAAUCCAGCUGGCCACUUCCUCGAUGAGAUGUUGGAGAAAACAGAAGUUGCCAAAGUUUAUUCCCAAGUCUGGAGGCCGUCUCCAGAGUGCUUGGUGUGGAUGUAAUGAGCAAGUUGCAUUUCAGCUUGCAGGACUGACUCAACUCUAUGAGCAAAUCUCUUCUCGUUUGGGUCUGUGCAAGUGCAAGCUGGCUCGCUUUACACUACUCCAAUUACUACUGACUGCCAACAUUUGGCAGAACACAGCAGCAGUUCACACCUAGACCUCCAGUCAGUUUACUGCUUCAUUGGCUUGGGGAACAUUGUGCCAAUGGACGUGGCUUCCCAUGUUCCCUCUGAUUGGAGCCGCCCAUCUCGACUCAUCCGCCAGGAUCCAACAAGCCCUCGACGAAAUCCCUAGGGUUUCGCUUUUUAAGACCACGGUGCCCUUUAAUCGGUGAUAAUUUGCUUACACAAUUGCUAGUUUUAAUUCACUUCUCUCCUUAUUAUUUUAGGAUAGAGACUAAAGCUUUUUACGAGGCUAAUCAAAUUUAAUGGGUCUCCUCCAAAGCUCCUUAUCCAUUAUCCUUACGCCAUUCUGGACUACUACCGACACCGAUUGGAUUUAAUCAGCAACACGACGUGCCUGGAUCGCCAAUAUCUGGUCAAUUGGUCAUGGAUCAACUCUCGGAGAACCUCGGCAUAAUUCUCAAAUCAAUGGCCGACGAAUCAUUGCUCUACGAAUUGUUUCGUUUUGUCGAUCUCAUCGAUCUCGCUACCUUCUCUUAUUAUUCGCCAACGGUUGACAACUAUGAAGACAUGUACUAUCAUCAGAGCCCCUGUGAGUACAGUAAAUAACACUGGGGUUCCCUGGCCCAACUUUUUCGAUUCUUACGAUUCGGGAGGGGUGCCCACACUCCGUCAACUACAACAAUCACCGUUCGUCCAUGAAUUGUACCAUCAACUUGUUCCAGUUCCUCCAGUUAUACUCGACGUCCUGCGACUAGCUUCAAGCCAAGGCCCACCAUAGGCCUCCAUCCACCAGGCCUCGAUCUCCUGGCUCAUAUUGGAAUCUUCCAAUUGUACCCACAGCAGUACUCAUCGGGAAUAUACUCCACUUCCGACAUCCGCCUCCUGUCGACUACCACGGUACCAUCCGGCCGAGUAGCAUUCGUCCAACUCCAAAAAUUCCAUCCACUGCGGCCCGUCCAUAUACUAGACGCCCUUCUCUUUCGAGCCAGACCAGCUACACACCGGAUUUCUGAAGGAAAUAUCGCCUUCCGGCGUCCCGACUUCAACUCCGGAUUCCGCCCUGUGUAUUUUCUCAACGUCUUGAAGACCACGAAAUCUGCGAUUGAUCUCCAUACACACCGCCGCUGCCUUUGUUCAGACAUUUUUGUUUAUUUUUUGACAACACUAAGGAAAUACGAACAUUGGUACAGAGAGAUGCCAAACUUCCGCUAAGAUAUCCAAGUCCCAAUGGGCUACCAUAGAACGCCGAUCUUUUUUUCGGUGUGAUUCGGUGAAGAGUAGCAGAGGAUGUGCUGACGGCAUGCACUCAAGGUGAAAUCUACUGCCACGAAAUUCUAGCUGGUCUCUUUCUUACAGCAUGGUAGAUAAGUCGUAAUCACGGCCACUCGCCAGCGCUUGAGGAAAUGAAACAAUCCCAGCCAUAGCCUUGCCUAACCGCGCCUACCUACCCACUGAUCAUCAUCAACCUCAACCACCCAACGCUAGAAGCUGUCCUGUACCAGAAAAUUAACAGACAUAUUAACCUUGCAAAAAAUAUGCUCAGGAUUCGGACAAAUUUGCGCAAAUUUGUCACUAAAGGCGACUAAAGACGCGUCUGGAUUCAAGUUCCCAUCUUUGGUGUGUUCAAGGUUCAGCAACUCGAAUUGGAUACAGCUCAAAGACAAAAGUUGGAAGAGAAAGUUUCUCAGAUAUGGGCCCAUAAGGAAAUGAACGAGGACACUAAAGCAGUUUACGUUUUUUUUUCAACCUCCCUGGAAUACGGUGCUGCAUACUGUAUCUCAGGACUUGCCUACGACGGAGCAUGAUGUUGUCAAGCGGCCUGACGGUGCAAUAGCGCAAAACUACAUUCGAGCACCGUCAGCCCGACGGUGCAAUAGAAUUUUCGACAUGAUGAGCUGGCGUUUACCUCCAACUACACGUGAUACGCCUACAGGUUGAGAAAGGUCCAGCAUUUGGUUUGCGUCGAGGAGGAAUUAUACGUCAGGAUGAAAUUUUCUAAUAAAUUGACGCUGACAAUUCCGACCUGCCCGGCGCCAUUCUGCAGAGACAGGCGUCAUCCGCCAGCAGUUUGCCUAUCAACUGCGGCGACAACAGCGAACCACACGAAUGGCCCGACAGCAAUACACGGUGGCCCCUUUCGUCAGCCCAUAGCCGGGCAAGAAAUCUCGCCACGUCCUGAAAGAAGGGUUGGAUUAUUUAAAUCUCAAACUGGGCGGAUUUGAUUAUUAAAUUUAAAUCACAGGCUGAAGUCAGCUGUGUAGAUGAUUUCCAAAUUAGGUCUUAAACGACAGUCAUAUUUUUUCAGAUGAUGCUAAUGUAAUCGACAUUCCAAUCGGCCCCUCCUCCUUUUACCCUCCGGUUUACACACAAUCAAAUGUAUUUUUCUUUUUUUUUUUUUUAAAUCUGAUUAUUAUUUUAGAGAGAAUUUGACUUGGGGCAGAGUUGACUGUGUACUUGUGCAGCCUUCCCCCCAUGACCCGUUAGAUGAUAAGAAAUGAAAACAAGAAAUUCUAUUGAUGAUUCCAUUGUUUCUGUACACACAUUUGACUCCUCCCACUAUUUGCUUUUGCAACCCCAUUCAACGACGCUAAGAACCGCGCCGUUGCUUUUUUUCUUUUCCGUGUUCCUUCUGUUUAAUUUCGUUUUUCCUUUCCCGUCAACAACGAAAAAACAUCUCCGUCCUUUUUGCGACGCCCCACAUUCCAUCACACACACACCAGAUUUUAAAAGAAAAGUUACUACAAAAAACAUAUUUUGACAGUGUGCGCGUAGUGAGUAUUUGUGUGCAUCAUGUAGCCCAUUCCAGCAGAAAAAAAGGAAACAAAAAG